CUACGGGGUGCAGCAGUGAGGAAUAUUGGACAAUGGAGGCAACUCUGAUCCAGCCAUGCCGCGUGCAGGAAGACGGCCCUAUGGGUUGUAAACUGCUUUUAUACAGGAAGAAUGGUACCUACGUGUAGGUAUUUGACGGUACUGUACGAAUAAGGAUCGGCUAACUCCGUGCCAGCAGCCGCGGUAAUACGGAGGAUCCAAGCGUUAUCCGGAAUCAUUGGGUUUAAAGGGUCCGUAGGCGGUCUGAUAAGUCAGAGGUGAAAUCCUGCAGCUCAACUGUAGCAUUGCCUUUGAUACUGUUAGACUUGAGUUAUUGUGAAGUAGUUAGAAUGUGUGGUGUAGCGGUGAAAUGCAUAGAUAUCACACAGAAUACCGAUUGCGAAGGCAGAUUACUAACAAUACACUGACGCUGAGGGACGAAAGCGUGGGUAGCGAACAGGAUUAGAUACCCCAGUAGUC
RNAcentral lists this ribosomal RNA (459 nucleotides) under uncultured bacterium. RNAcentral's name for it is "partial 16S ribosomal RNA". It matches the Rfam family "Bacterial small subunit ribosomal RNA", at positions 339 to 795 of the family's 1533-position model. The record is from RNAcentral.